AUACGAGGGGUGCAAGCGUUGUUCGGAAUUACUGGGCGUAAAGGGAGCGUAGGCGGAGAUUCAAGCGGAUUGUACAAUCCCGGGGCCCAACCCCGGCUCUGCAGUCCGAACUGGAUCUCUUGGAUAGUUCAGGGGCAGGCGGAAUUCCUGGUGUAGCGGUGGAAUGCGUAGAGAUCAGGAAGAACACCGAUGGCGAAGGCAGCCUGCUGGGGACUUAUCGACGCUGAGGCUCGAAAGUGCGGGUAGCAAACAGGGUUAAAUACCCUGGUAGUCCGCACCGUAAACGAUGCAUACUGGGUGUCCGGGGGUUCCCCCGGGUACCGUAGCCAACGCGUUAAGUAUGCCGCCUGGGGAGUACGUACGCAAGUAUGAAACUCAAAUGAAUUGACGGGG
Molecule: ribosomal RNA, 393 nt
Filed under: uncultured bacterium
Lineage: Bacteria
Description: partial 16S ribosomal RNA
Rfam family: Bacterial small subunit ribosomal RNA
Source: RNAcentral